This 2237-nucleotide unclassified non-coding RNA is filed under the name Penaeus chinensis. RNAcentral's name for it is "ankyrin-1-like, transcript variant X2". The record is from RNAcentral. Lineage: Eukaryota; Metazoa; Arthropoda; Malacostraca; Decapoda; Penaeidae.
CAGCAUGUCGACGAGUGCAAAUGCACGGCUCUGGUCGGGCCUGGCCGAAGGCGACACUGAAGGGGUGGUCCAGGCCCUAGAGGAAGGCGCCGACGUGAACCAAGUGAGCCACGGCGGAGGUCGCCCCAUUCACUCCGCUGCUCUUCGGAAUUCUGGCGGUCUCGUGAGGAUCCUUUUGAAUCACGGCGCCCUCUGCGAUGCAUCCGACGACGAAGGCUUCACGCCUCUAAUGGUGGCGUCCUUGAAUGGGCAUACCGAGGUGGUGCAGGAGCUGCUGAAGGGCGGUGCGGACCCGAAAAUACAUCGGCCUGAUGACUUCGGCGGGGACACAGCCCUCCACAUGGUCACCAGGACAGACGAAGGCGAGGUGUUGAGAGCCCUGCUGGAGGCGGGGGCAGAUCCUAACGCCAGGGCCAGCGGCUUGAACGACAUGACGCCUCUGCACUUGGCUGCGGAGUUCGGGAGAGAGAACUUGGCUGAGCUGCUCGCGAACCACCCGAGCUGCGAAAUCGAUCUGAGAGACGCCCGUGGCCUCACGCCCGCCCGCCUGGCUAAAGAAAGCUGCCCGAGCCUCUCGCUCUACCUGGAUUUGUGCUGCGGAGCCAAGUCUCGCAUGGACAAGCUUCUCAUCGUCGCAGUCAGGAGGAAUGAUGCGGCGGAAGUGCAGGCAGCGCUGGACGAAGGAGCGGACCUGAGCUUACAGGGUCCAGAGGAUGGCGGGACCUUGCUCCACCUGGCGUCCCAGGGUUCCUCAGGACAUGUUCUCCAGAUGCUUCUCUCUCGAGGCGCCUCGGUGGACGCAUGGACCAGUCAGGGAUUCACACCGCUCAUGAUAGCGGCUCAGAGGGGCGCGACGGACGCCUUAGUACACCUUAGGGAUCAUCGGGCCAAUCCAAAGCUGUCCACUCCUGACGGGACGACGGCGCUGCACUUGGCCGUGCAAAGUCAGAACUCUUCCGCAGUGACUGCUCUCCUCGACGCCGGCGUAGACAUCAAUGCCACAAAGGUCGACGGGUCCACGCCGCUGCACAUCGCCGCUGCGUCGGGGGCCCUCAAAAUGGCUCAUCUCUUGUUGGAUGACUACUUGUGGGAUAGUACCAAGGGCGGCUCGGCUGCCCAUGUGGCGAGGGAGGCCGGCCACCUGGAAUUCGCCAAAUUCAUCGAGCAAAGGAUCGGCAUUUGCGAUGAGAGUGACGACCUCCCCCAAGAGGACUUCCGCGUAGUGGUCGGCCAGCCUGUGCCUCCUAGUCCGGGCGUGUACCGGAACCUCUCCGAACCGUAUCGAGGUCGAGUCCUCAUCAUCAACUACCGGGAAUUCAGUGAGGAGAAACUCGCUCGCAUCGGCACUGAGAAAGAUAUGGAAAAUCUCUUCAAAGUGUUUAGGAGUAUGGGCUACCAAGUGGAAGAUCACCAGGACCUGGAUCUGGAAGCGACUAAAAAGGUGCUGAAUGACUUCAGGAGUAACGAGGAUCUAGCUAAAGUUGACUCAAUGUUCGUGUGCAUGUUGAGUCAUGGCAUCGACCGGGAUACAUUCUUCACAUCUGAUAUGAGAAAGAUGGACGUCUCUGCGGUACGGAAUAUGUUCAAAGAUCAGGUUUGUCCUCUCAUGAAGGGAAAACCCAAAGUUUUCCUUUUCAACUUCUGCCGCGGAAACACCUUUGAAAGCUUCUCUGGAAAAAGUAUAGGCGACGAUCUACCUUGGACGUCACAGAGCACGGUCGGCCGCGACGAGGUACCUCCCGCACAGGACGAAGCCCCGCGUGACAUGCUGACCAUUUACGCGUCGACGGAAGGCUUCAAGGCUUUUAGGACGAAUAAAGGAACUUUUUUCGCGCGGUCCCUGUGCCAAACUCUAGCCACUCACGCCCACAACACGGACAUGAUCAGCAUGGUUUCGAAGUUGGACCGGCUGAUGGCAACAAGACGACACGCUACAACGCCGGAGGCACAGAGCUUCGCCUUCCAGAAGUUUUUCCUGAAUCCACUGAAGCCUUCCGACGCAUAGCACUGUGGGUCUCCAACGAUGACUGCGCUUCCUCGCAUGCUAGCGGGGAUGGGUUAACGGGAGAGAGAACUUGGCUGAGCUGCUCGCGAACCACCGGAGCUGCGAAGUCGAUCUGAGAGACGCCCGUGGCCUCACGCCCGCCCGCCUGGCUAAGGAAAGCUGCCCGAGUCUCUCGCUCUACCUGGAUUUGUGCUGCGGAGCCAAGUCUCGCAUGGACAAGAUACGCUGAAGU